AUUGAACGCUGGCGGAAUGCUUUACACAUGCAAGUCGAACGGCAGCACGGACUUCGGUCUGGUGGCGAGUGGCGAACGGGUGAGUAAUGUAUCGGAACGUGCCCAGUCGUGGGGGAUAACGUAGUGAAGAUUACGCUAAUACCGCAUACGAUCUAUGGAUGAAAGCGGGGGAUCGCAAGACCUCGCGCGAUUGGAGCGGCCGAUAUCAGAUUAGGUAGUUGGUGGGGUAAAGGCCCACCAAGCCAACGAUCUGUAGCUGGUCUGAGAGGACGACCAGCCACAAUGGAACCGAGACCAGGUCCAGACGCCUACGGGAGGGAGAAGGGGGGAAUUUUGGACAAUGGGCGAAAGCCUGAUCCAGCCAUUCCGCGUGCAGGAUGAAGGCCCUCGGGUUGUAAACUGCUUUUGUACAGAACGAAAAGGUUUCUACUAAUACUAGGAGCUCAUGACGGUACUGUAAGAAUAAGCACCGGCUAACUACGUGCCAGCAGCCGCCGUAA
This 500-nucleotide ribosomal RNA is filed under the name uncultured bacterium. RNAcentral describes it as "partial 16S ribosomal RNA". It matches the Rfam family "Bacterial small subunit ribosomal RNA", at positions 30 to 523 of the family's 1533-position model. The record is from RNAcentral.